Long non-coding RNA from Cucumis sativus (cucumber), 487 nucleotides. RefSeq lists it as uncharacterized. The transcript has 2 exons. Lineage: Eukaryota; Viridiplantae; Streptophyta; Magnoliopsida; Cucurbitales; Cucurbitaceae. The record is from RefSeq and is a predicted model, not a curated record.
AGUGUUGGGUCUGUUCUUAACAUGGCUAUUCAGGCUGUUUUGAGAAUGGUAGGGAACAACGAUUCUACUGCAAGAAAUCGAUUUUUUUUCUAAUAGACAAAGAUGAACAAGGAUGAAUAAUCAAUGAAAAAGGAAUGAAGAGGUUUAUCCAUGCAAGCUUCAAACCAAAGCCAAGGAUGUCGAUCCUUCCAGGGGAGUCCAAAGUUCUCCCUUAUUUUUCUCCCUUUAUUUUGAUUUUCAAAAGUUUGCAAUUUUUUAAGUGGGGGUGGGCAAUUGCUUGCAUGUUUAGUCUAAACUUGGAGGUUCAAAUUUUGCCAAAUUUCAAAAUUUCUAAAAAAAAUUUCCUUACAAUAAUGAGCACUAUACCUUCUUAGAUUACUUAGAUCUUGCAUAAAAAGCAUGACUAGCAACCCUUGAUCACUGAGCUUGGGUUUGUGAUGUAAAAUUCUGAAUGUUGAUGAGUAUAUGUGCUGAAAUUUGAGAAUAA